GUCCUACUUCGACAACGGGGAGAGCUUCGGGCCCGACAGCGACGACAACGGCGACGAGGCCGUGUACUGACCCCAGAGGGGCACUGAACCCCAAAAAUGGGCACUGAACCCCAAAAACGGGCACUGACCCCAAAGGGGCACUGAAACGGGUACUGACCCCGAAAGGGGCACUGCACCCCAAAAUGGGCACUGAACCCAAAAUGGGCGCCCCAAAAUGGGUACUGACCCCAAAAUGGGCACCCCAAAAAUGGGUACUGACCCCAAAGGGGCACUGAACCCCGAAAACGGGCACUGACCCCCAAAACUGGGCACCCCAAAAAUGGGCACUGACCCCAAAAUGGGCACCCCAAAAUGGGUACUGACCCCAGAGGGGCACUGAACCCCAAAAAUGGGCACUGAACCCCAAAAAAUGGGUACUGACCCUGAAAGGGGCACUGACCCCCAAAAAUGGGUACUGACCCCAAAAUGGGCACCCCAAAAUGGGUACUGACCCCAGAGGGGCACUGAACCCCAAAAAUGGGUACUGACCCCAAAAACGGGCACCCCAAAAGGGGUACUGACCCCAAAAGGGGCACUGAACCCCAAAAAUGGGCACCCCAAAAGGGGUACUGACCCCGAAAGGGGCACUGAACCCCAAAAUUGGGCACCCCGAAAUGGGUACUGACCCCAAAAGGGGCACUGACCCCAAAACUGGCACUGACCCCAAAAAUGGGCACCCCGAAAUGGGUACUGACCCCAAAAUGAGCACCCCGACAGGGGGCACACCCUAUUGGGGUCCCUGUUCCUCCCCUUGGGGACAUUGGGGUGACAUUGGGGUCCCCUUGGGGACAUUGGGGUGACAUUGGGGUCCCCUUGGGGACACUGAGGUGACAUUGGGGUCCCCUUGGGGACAUUGGGGUGCAUUGGGGUCCCUGUUACCCCUUGGGGACAUUGGGGUCCCCCUUGUCCUGUCAUUCCCUUUGUCACCACCAGGUGGCGCCGGCGCUCCAGGCCCGGGGUGGGGGGGGCAGAACCCCCUCAAAUUUUGGGGCUUUUUUUGGGUGAAUUUUGUGUGAAUUUUAAAAUAUUUUUGGUAUUUCUGGCUCAGCUUUUGGUGUUUUUUAGCACGGGGGGGUUGGAUAAGGGGGUUACCAGAGGCUAAGAGGAAUUAA
Molecule: long non-coding RNA, 1151 nt
Filed under: Zonotrichia albicollis (white-throated sparrow)
Lineage: Eukaryota; Metazoa; Chordata; Aves; Passeriformes; Passerellidae
Description: lncRNA (ENSZALG00000004550.1)
Source: RNAcentral